GGACCUUAGGUCCACCAUCUUAAAGCUUUAUGUUAACCUUCCUUGUACAGCCCCUUUCAUCUGAGGGGUUACCCUUUUAUUCGUCUGACUCUCUUUCUCACUCUCUACGUUUUUAGGUAAAGAGGCUUCUCUUUCUCUCUCAUCAACAGCUCAUCCAUCCCUCGCUCAUCAACGCAUUUUUCACAUUUCUCUUCUCUCCCGAAGAGGCCUCUGUUACUCUCUCUUGUAUUUACACAACUUCCUCAUCCUUUUCCCUAUCUCUACUCUCUGUACUGGACCUUAUGCAUCUAUAACCUCACUCUCUAACCAUGGCCUAUGAACCGUACACAUGAGAUUACGAUGACACAUAUGAUAAGCCCACAUCCACAAUUGAUGCUUCCCCAGUUUCGGAGUUAAAGUAAGUGACAUUAUUAUCUUGAAAAAUAAUCCAUUUUUUUUAAAAUUAAAUGAAAUAAUUAUUUUUGUUUUUUAUACGCACGCGAUUUCAUUAUUUU
Molecule: long non-coding RNA, 494 nt
Filed under: Amborella trichopoda
Lineage: Eukaryota; Viridiplantae; Streptophyta; Magnoliopsida; Amborellales; Amborellaceae
Description: long non-coding RNA (ATRI_LNC001408)
Source: RNAcentral